Molecule: transfer RNA, 73 nt
Filed under: Camelus bactrianus (Bactrian camel)
Lineage: Eukaryota; Metazoa; Chordata; Mammalia; Artiodactyla; Camelidae
Also listed under: 2 other names
Rfam family: tRNA
About the family: Transfer RNA (tRNA) molecules are approximately 80 nucleotides in length. Their secondary structure includes four short double-helical elements and three loops (D, anti-codon, and T loops).
Source: Rfam by way of RNAcentral
GAGGGUAUCGCUUAAGUGGUAGAGCACAUGCUUAGCAUGCAUGAGGUCCUGGGUUCAAGCCCUGGCACCUCCU